Molecule: long non-coding RNA, 3602 nt
Organism: Antechinus flavipes (yellow-footed antechinus)
Lineage: Eukaryota; Metazoa; Chordata; Mammalia; Dasyuromorphia; Dasyuridae
Exons: 2
Source: RefSeq, a predicted model, not a curated record
UCUUUCUCCCCCUCCCCUUCCCUUCUUUCUGUCUCUAUCUCUACCUCUGUCUUUCUCUUUCUCUGGCUCUCUCUCUCUUUAUGAUGCUGUCUUUCUCUGUCUCUCUGUCUUUGUCUCUUUCUGCUCUUCCAAGUCUUUCUUUCUCUUUCUGUCUCUUUUCUUUUAUUUCUUGUCUCCUUCUACCCCAUCUCUGUUUUUCUCUCAUUAUCUCUGCCUCUCUGUUUUUCUGUUUCCUUCCUCCUUCUCCUCCUUUUCCUCCCUUUGCUUCUUUCCUAACCACUGGCUUUGGAUCUCUUCUUCAGAUGACAACUUCUGUUCCCCCCAUUGUUCUCUUCUUCAUCCUCCUGAGCCUGCCUUGGCUCCCAGAGGCUGCCCCAGGACAUCGGGUAAGAGAGUCCCUGUUGUAGCCCCAUCCUUGCCUUCAGCCCUGGUGCUAGUCCUUCCCCAAGCCCUUCUUCUGCCCCUAUUACUGCCCAUGGUCUUGGUCCUUUCCGGAUUCCUGACCUUUUUUACCCCUUUGAUUCCUCUCUCAUCCCAGUUUCUGUCUCAUCACUUCCCCAGUUCCUGCUCCUGCCUUGUUCCUGCCCUUGUCCCUGCUCCUUGUCCCAUGAUGCUUGAAUUUCAGCAGUGGUUUGGGAGCUAGCAAAUUUGGGUUCAGAUUCAGCCUGUCCUUGGUGGUUCUUUGCCAAUCCCAGUGUCUCGUUUUCUCUAGUAGAAGAAUAGAUGCUUAGACAAAACUAAAUCUCUUUCCCCUCCUAUCACUUAUAAUCGGUAAAUUCUGGGAAAAUGAUAGUUGGAAAGUGGGGAAUGGGCAAACUGUCCAAGCUCCCCAUUUGUGUGUCUUUUGGGUGGGACAAAUUUGAAAAGAAGGGGAGGACCCCCGACCCCUUCCUACAUUGUAGAUGAAAAGGCCAUGAUUGAGAGCUUGACAGGCAACCUCUCUGAUGGGUUCUUUGGGAGUCUGACUUUGUUUCCCUAUCUCUUGUCUGGAUUCAGAUACAUGGAGGGUGGACACUAAACAGCGCUGGCUACUUGCUGGGUCAGGGUAGGUACCUUCUUAUACAGGGGCCUCCUGCUGCCUCCAGCCCCUGCCAGUCCCCAGAUCUCUGCUAUAAUGGAUUUUCUUUUUUUUUCUUUCUAAUUUCUUUUAUUUUUGAUUUAUGGAGUAAAACAAACAUUUUCAUAACAUAAUACAGUUUUUAAAAAUGUUUGUACAUGAAAGUGACAAUCUAUUAUGCACAACUUGCUAUUUCUUUCAACUAUGCAACAAAAUAAUCAUGUAAAUGUUUUCCUCCCUCCCAACCUUGAGAUAGCUAUCAUUAGAUAGAAACAGUCAUAUAUAUAUUUAUGUCUGUGAGAAAUUAUUGUAUUCAUAUUCUAUUUAUCGAUUAUUUCUCUGGAUACAGAUAGCAUUUUUCUUUAGAGUUAAUUUGGGUAUUUCCAUUAGUCAAAAUAACUUAUUUGUCCCAGCUUCUUCUUAGAACAAUACUGCUAUUACCAUGUAUGUUGUUCUCUUCAUUAUUUCGUACAACACUUUCCAUAUUUUUUCAAAAAUCAUUAAGCUCACCACUUUAUAGCACGGUAGUAUUCCACCACAGUCAUAAUCCACAACUUGUUCAGUCGUUCUCCAAUCCUUUUCACAUUCACACUAAAAAGGCAUAAUUGCUACCUAUUAAUUUCCUUCCGUCUUAUUUUGCGCUUCAGGCUCUAUUUUCACCCUCUCCCUGUUACCUUAUCUUCUUCCCUUAUGUUUUUAUUUCUUAUUUUAUCCUUCUUUUAAAAUGCCUCCUUAUCUAUUUACCCCAUCCUCCAGGUCUUAAUCAACAAUGCUACUAAAAGUCCCUCCCAACUGCCCUGCCCCCAGUUUUCUCACCUCUCCAGAUGUUCAGAAGACUUCUAAACCUUUUCAGAUGUAUAUGUUGUUUCCUCCUCAUCCCAGAUGAGAGUAAGGUUCCUACACUCCGGCCCUCCACCCCCACAAGCUUCCUCUGAAUUAAUGCUUCCUUUCAUACCAUGUUUUUUAUCAGAUAAUUCCUCCAUUUAACCUUUUUUUUUAACCAAUUUUUUUUACAAUCACUCAUUAUAUACAACUCAGACUCAACUUUUCUUUCAGACUACCUUAGUUACGAUAAGUUUUAAAAAUACCAUUAGUAUUAGCAAUGACCAACAUUAUAUCACAAGUAAAACAUUUGUCUUUAAUCUAUGCCGUAUAAUUAGUCCUUACUGAUUUUCUUAUAGUUCUUCUGGCUCUUUUAGAUAAAAUUAUCCUUGCGUUCUGGUCAGUAGCUUUUCUGUAAGGAAGAUUUGACAGCAGAUUCUCUGGGCUAAUGCUAUCCUCUUGUCUUGCAAUCCUUCACCUUCCCAGGGGAAAACAUCAGGCACCUUGGAGGGAAGUCCCAGAGUUCCCAGCUCCGGGGGAAGCCGAGGGUGAGUGAGAAGACGCCGUUGCUUUCUUUGACUGCCUCAGUGGGAUGCACUGUGUGAGAGGAAGGUCCCCAGAGGCUCAGCGGAAGAAGAUUUUCAGACUAGCAGGUGGGAUGGAAUGGGAGGCUCUCCCCUGGAGGGCUUAGGCAUAGGCUACCCAAUCACUUGGUAGGUAUGUCAGGAGCUGGACUAGAGACCUCAGAGCUUCCUGCCAGCCCUGAGGUUCUGGGCUCCUGAGACCUCCUCCAGUGGCUCCUGGUCCCUGCCCAUCCCUCCCGCCUCUCAGUCCUGCCAUUCACCUGAUCCCCAGGGCCAGGGCCAGGGCCAGAGCAGGAGAAGUGGUUAGUCACAGCCCAAACCCCGAUUUUCCACGUGUCCUGGGGCAAGCCGUUUUCCUCUACUGGACCCCGGGAGGUCCUGGUGGUGGGGAGGUGGCAGGAAUCGGGAAAACUCUCUGACCACCCGUGGGAUUAUCUCGUAAUCUCGCCCUUUUUGUUCACGGCCAACGAGGUAAUUGUGCAGAACGCAAGGAAUCCUUGCCUUUCACCGACGGUUGUCGACUUCUUGGCCCUGUCCAGGUCCUGUCUGUGACCCAUCAGGUCUUAGUGACGGGGCUUUGCAAACUGUCAAGGGCUGUAAAUGGUGGUGGGGCUGGAGGCCGGUGACUGGCUUUUGUGGGUUAUAAAGGGCUCUAGAGGGAGCCGAGGUGGUCUCUGGAGAGGACCUCAUGGGGCCCGAAGCCCUUUGCAGGGAACCGGGUAGUUCAGAAACAGGAGGGAGGCUGGCAGAAGCUGCAGGCGUGACUGGCUUUGCGGACGGCCCUGGGGCCUCGGAAACUAAAGCGUCGUGUUUCCUUUAGAUGGGCUGUUCCUGUCCCAGCCCGCUGAGGACGCCCCCAGGAGGAGCCUAGGAAGGCCCUAGCCAGAGAUGCCCCAGCUGAGAGCGGGCGUGUGGAGGAACAGGAAAAGCUGCUCAAGGCUCUGGGGAGCCCAGAAGAGGAGCGCCCAUGGGAUCCGCCUUCCCACGCCCCCUCCUUGCUUGGGCUUUUCCCACCCCACCCCCAAUCGCUCGAUGACUCUGGCUCCAUCUCCCCCUCUGCAGCGCCUUCCCUCGUUCCACCACCUUUCGGGCUCCGUCCCCUCCUUUGGUCACCAAUAAAGACGGUACUUCCUGACGCA